AGCCCAUGAGUAGGGCAUUUGAGCAAGAGCUUCUUGAAUCUCACCCAUGUUAUAUGAAUGGGUUCUCCUUCCAUCGCUUGGAUCCUUGAAUAUCAUCUCUGAGCUU
Molecule: small nucleolar RNA, 106 nt
Organism: Solanum stenotomum
Lineage: Eukaryota; Viridiplantae; Streptophyta; Magnoliopsida; Solanales; Solanaceae
Source: RefSeq, a predicted model, not a curated record